This 505-nucleotide ribosomal RNA is filed under the name uncultured bacterium. RNAcentral's name for it is "bacterial SSU rRNA". It matches the Rfam family "Bacterial small subunit ribosomal RNA", at positions 9 to 507 of the family's 1533-position model. The record is from RNAcentral.
GAGUUUGAUCCUGGCUCAGAUUGAACGCUGGCGGCAGGCCUAACACAUGCAAGUCGGGCGGUAGAGAGAAGCUUGCUUCUCUUGAGAGCGGCGGACGGGUGAGUAAUGCCUAGGAAUCUGCCUGGUAGUGGGGGAUAACGCUCGGAAACGGACGCUAAUACCGCAUACGUCCUACGGGAGAAAGCAGGGGACCUUCGGGCCUUGCGCUAUCAGAUGAGCCUAGGUCGGAUUAGCUAGUUGGUGAGGUAAUGGCUCACCAAGGCGACGAUCCGUAACUGGUCUGAGAGGAUGAUCAGUCACACUGGAACUGAGACACGGUCCAGACUCCUACGGGAGGCAGCAGUGGGGAAUAUUGGACAAUGGGCGAAAGCCUGAUCCAGCCAUGCCGCGUGUGUGAAGAAGGUCUUCGGAUUGUAAAGCACUUUAAGUUGGGAGGAAGGGCAGUAAAUUAAUACUUUGCUUGUUUUGACGUUACCGACAGAAUAAGCAACCGGCUAACUCUGUG